RNAcentral lists this ribosomal RNA (1497 nucleotides) under uncultured bacterium. RNAcentral describes it as "16S ribosomal RNA". It matches the Rfam family "Bacterial small subunit ribosomal RNA". The record is from RNAcentral.
GUUUGAUUCUGGCUCAGGAUGAACGCUGGCGGCAUGCCUAAUACAUGCAAGUCGAACGGAGUGAAGCCUUCGGGUUUCAUUCAGUGGCGAACGGGUGAGUAAUACGCAGGGAACCUGGCCAUGGCAGGGGGAUACACUCUGGAAACGGAGCAUAAGACCCCAUAGGCAGUAAGGCGGCAUCGCCUUACUGUUAAAGAAAGCUGAGAGGCUUUGGCGAUGGAUGGACCUGCGGUGCAUUAGCUUGUUGGUGAGGCAACGGCUUCCCAAGGCGAUGAUGCAUAGCCGGCCUGAGAGGGCGGACGGCCACACUGGGACUGAGACACGGCCCAGACUCCUGCGGGAGGCAGCAGUAGGGAAUUUUCGUCAAUGGGCGCAAGCCUGAACGAGCAAUGCCGCGUGAGUGAGGAAGGUCUUCGGACUGUAAAGCUCUGUUGCCGGGGAAAAAGGGGAAAUGCAGGAAAUGGCAUUUCAUGGAUGGUACCCGGCCAGAAAGCCACGGCUAACUACGUGCCAGCAGCCGCGGUAAUACGUAGGUGGCGAGCGUUAUCCGGAAUGAUUGGGCGUAAAGGGUGCGCAGGCGGUCUGUUAAGUCUGAAGGCAAAGGGAUGAGCUCAACUCAUUUAUGAUUCAGAAACUGGCAGACUUGAGGACAGGAGAGGGCGGUGGAACUCCAUGUGUAGCGGUAAAAUGCGCAGAGAUAUGGAAGAACACCAGUGGCGAAGGCGGCCGCCUGGCCUGUGACUGACGCUGAGGCACGAAAGCGUGGGGAGCAAAUAGGAUUAGAUACCCUAGUAGUCCACGCCGUAAACGAUGAGGAGCAGGUGUUGGGAGUGAAAUCUCAGUGCCGAAGCCAACGCAGUGACUCCUCCGCCUGGGGAGUAUGCACGCAAGUGUGAAACUCAAAGGAAUUGACGGGGGCCCGCACAAGCGGUGGAGUAUGUGGUUUAAUUCGAAGCAACGCGAAGAACCUUACCAGGUUUUGACAUCGGAUGCGAAGGCGCAGAGAUGCGCUGGAGGCUAUCAUCCAGACAGGUGGUGCAUGGUUGUCGUCAGCUCGUGUCGUGAGAUGUUCAGUUAAGUCUGGCAACGAGCGCAACCCCCGUGGUAUGUUACUAACGCUUUAGGGCGAGGACUCAUAUCAGACUGCCGGUGACAAACCGGAGGAAGGCGGGGAUGACGUCAAAUCAUCAUGCCCCUUAUGACCUGGGCUACACACGUACUACAAUGGCGUCUACAGAGGGAAGCGACCCUGAGAAGGGAAGCGAAACCGGAAAAGGGCGUCCCAGUUCGGAUUGAAGUCUGCAACCCGACUUCAUGAAGAUGGAAUCGCUAGUAAUCGCGGAUCAGCAUGCCGCGGUGAAUACGUUCCCGGGCCUUGUACACACCGCCCGUCAAACCAUGGAAGCCGGCAACGCCCGAAGCCGGUGGCAUAACCUUUUAGGAGUGAGCCGUCGAAGGCGGGGCCGAUGACUGGGGUUAAGUCGUAACAAGGUACCC